This is an RNA transcript of Mus musculus (house mouse), 6386 nucleotides long. It is a transcript of the gene named protein tyrosine phosphatase, receptor type, f polypeptide (PTPRF), interacting protein (liprin), alpha 4, with no coding region annotated. Lineage: Eukaryota; Metazoa; Chordata; Mammalia; Rodentia; Muridae. The transcript is spliced from 30 exons. The record is from RefSeq and is marked validated.
CCCAGCUCCAGCUCCCCUGAACAGUUUGAGGAGGAGUCUCUGUUAGUGCGCCUUGGGAAACAGCCUCUUCUGGUCUGGAUGUAUCUCUGCGGGGCGCGGAAUUCGUUGCCCCUCGCCUUUGCUGUGCCCUGUGCCCUUGGGGAUGAGGAUGGGGGUCGAUGCCCGUUUUGCAGGGAGGGCGUGGAGUUCGCCCUCAGCUCCAUCCUCUCUCUGGGAGGGGGCAGCCGGGUGGACUGCGCCCCCUCAUCCUCUCCAGGAGAGUCAGAGCAAAAGCGCCUCUGGGCUUGGGGGCCAACUCUGCUUCUUUGGGCGAGCGCUGACCACACCGCCCUCCAGAAACCAUGGGUGUUGCUAGACCCAGCUGGGAUUCUGCCAAGCUCUGGUGCUCAGUCUAAGACAAGGGCUGCCUUCCAGCCCUGUUCGCCCAGCCUGUCAUGGCCACACACCGAUGCCUCCCGCUUGUGUGGGGACACAGGGCACCCAGCCCCAACCCUGAAAGGUUAAGCCAGGCCUUCUGGCUCCAUUCCACAGGGACACUGCAGGCCCGAGGCUCCUUUCAGAGCAAGAGCAACUGAUGUCAUGGGAGAAGCCCCUACCCAACUGUCCACUUGCCUGGCACUGCCUGUUCUGAGACCCACGCCCUGGGUCCUUCUGCAGGUGCCAACCCCGUGAGCUCCCUCCCACCCCCUGACCCGACGCUGAGAAGGCUCUCUCCAUUCCCAUCAUGUGUGAGGUGAUGCCCACAAUCAAUGAGGGGGACCCCCUGGGGCCCCCCCACGGUGCCGAUGCUGAGGCCAACUUUGAGCAGCUGAUGGUGAACAUGCUGGAUGAGCGAGAGAAGUUGCUGGAGUCCCUUCGGGAGAGUCAGGAAACUUUGGUAGCCACACAGAGCCGGCUCCAGGAUGCCCUUCACGAGCGAGAUCAGCUCCAGCGCCACCUGAACUCCGCCCUUCCCCAGGAAUUUGCCACUUUAACUCGGGAGCUAAGCAUGUGUCGGGAGCAGCUUCUGGAGCGGGAGGAAGAGAUAUCUGAGCUGAAAGCAGAGCGGAAUAACACAAGGCUGCUUCUGGAACAUCUGGAAUGCCUCGUGUCCCGCCAUGAGCGGUCAUUGCGGAUGACAGUGGUAAAACGGCAGGCCCAAUCACCUUCAGGUGUCUCCAGUGAGGUGGAGGUGCUGAAGGCCCUCAAGUCACUAUUUGAGCACCACAAGGCCCUGGAUGAGAAGGUGCGAGAGCGGCUCCGGGCAGCUCUAGAGCGCGUUACUACCUUGGAGGAGCAGUUGGCAGGAGCUCACCAGCAGGUAUCUGCCCUGCAGCAGGGUGCAGGAAUUCGGGAUGGAGUAGCAGAAGAGGAAGGGACUGUGGAUCUGGGACCAAAACGCCUGUGGAAAGAUGACACUGGCCGCGUGGAAGAGCUGCAAGGACUCUUGGAGAAGCAAAACUAUGAGUUGAGCCAGGCCCGUGAGCGGCUGGUCACCCUGAGUGCCACCGUGACUGAGCUGGAGGAGGACCUGGGCACGGCCCGCCGAGACCUCAUCAAGUCAGAGGAGCUGAGCAGCAAGCAUCAGCGGGACCUCCGAGAGGCUCUGGCUCAGAAGGAGGACAUGGAAGAGAGAAUCACCACACUGGAGAAGCGCUACUUGGCUGCUCAGCGAGAAGCCACAUCCAUCCAUGACCUCAAUGACAAACUGGAGAAUGAGCUGGCCAACAAGGAAUCCCUGCACCGCCAGUGUGAGGAGAAAGCCCGGCAUCUGCAGGAGCUGCUAGAAGUAGCAGAGCAGAAGUUGCAGCAGACCAUGCGCAAGGCAGAGACUCUGCCCGAGGUGGAGGCUGAGCUGUCUCAGAGAAUCGCAGCCCUCACCAAGGCUGAGGAACGUCAUGGCAACAUUGAGGAACAUCUGCGGCAGCUGGAAGGGCAGCUGGAAGAGAAGAACCAGGAGCUGGCAAGGGUGCGCCAGCGGGAGAAGAUGAAUGAAGACCACAACAAGCGGCUGUCAGACACCGUGGACCGGUUGCUUAGUGAGUCCAACGAACGCCUGCAGCUCCACCUCAAGGAGCGAAUGGCUGCCCUGGAGGAGAAGGGCCGUCUGUCUGAAGAGAUUGAGAAGCUGCGCCAAGAGGUGGACCAGCUGAAGGGUCGAGGGGGGCCGUUUGUGGAUGGCAUCCACUCCAGGUCACACGUGGGCAGCGCAGCAGAUGUGAGGUUCUCACUGAGUACAGCCACACACGCGCCCCCAGGUCUGCAUCGACGCUAUUCGGCGCUGAGGGAUGAAUCUGCCAAGGACUGGAAGCCAUCGCCACUGCCAGGGGUGUUGGGCGCCACCACGCCUGCCUUUGACAGUGACCCUGAGAUCUCUGAUGUGGAUGAGGAUGAGCCUGGGGGCUUGGUGGGCACUCAGGUCGAUGUCAUCUCACCCGGUGGCCAUUCAGAUGCCCAGACCCUGGCCAUGAUGCUACAGGAGCAGCUGGAUGCCAUCAACCAGGAGAUCAGGAUGAUCCAGGAGGAGAAGGAGUCCACUGAGCUUCGAGCUGAGGAGAUUGAGACCCGUGUGACCAGCGGCAGCAUGGAGGCCCUCAACCUGACCCAGCUGCGCAAGCGUGGCUCUAUCCCCACCUCUCUGACCGCCCUUUCCCUGGCCAGUGCAUCUCCACCGCUCAGUGGCCGCUCCACACCCAAGCUCACUUCCCGAAGUGCUGCCCAGGAUCUGGACCGAAUGGGGGUCAUGACCCUGCCCAGCGACUUAAGAAAGCAUAGGAGGAAGCUGCUGUCGCCAGUGUCUCGGGAAGAGAACCGAGAGGAUAAAGCCACCAUAAAAUGUGAGACUUCUCCUCCUUCCUCACCCAGGACGCUGCGGCUAGAGAAGCUUGGCCACCCUGGCCUGAGUCAAGAGGAGGGCAAGAGUGCCUUGGAGGGUCAGGACAGCAACCCCAGCAGCAGCAACAGCAGCCAGGACUCCCUGCACAAGGGCGCCAAGCGCAAGGGCAUCAAGUCAUCCAUUGGCCGCCUGUUUGGGAAGAAGGAGAAGGGCAGGCUGAUCCAGCUGAGUCGGGAUGCCACGGGCCAUGUUCUGCUCACAGACUCCGAGCUCAGUCUGCAGGAACCAAUGGUACCUGCUAAGUUGGGGACCCAGGCAGAGAAGGACCGGCGACUGAAAAAGAAACACCAGCUGCUUGAAGAUGCGCGCCGAAAAGGAAUGCCCUUUGCCCAAUGGGAUGGCCCCACGGUGGUCUCCUGGCUGGAGCUCUGGGUGGGGAUGCCUGCCUGGUAUGUGGCGGCCUGCCGGGCCAAUGUCAAGAGUGGCGCCAUCAUGUCCGCCUUGUCGGACACGGAGAUCCAGCGGGAGAUCGGCAUCAGCAAUGCCCUGCACAGGCUCAAGCUCCGCCUGGCCAUCCAGGAGAUGGUGUCACUGACGAGCCCCUCAGCUCCACCUACCUCCAGGACUUCUUCAGGGAAUGUCUGGGUGACCCACGAAGAGAUGGAAACUCUGGCAACAUCUACCAAAACAGACAGUGAGGAGGGCAGCUGGGCCCAGACCCUGGCCUAUGGAGACAUGAAUCACGAGUGGAUUGGAAACGAAUGGCUGCCCAGCCUGGGGCUCCCUCAGUACCGUAGUUACUUCAUGGAGUGCCUGGUGGAUGCCCGCAUGCUGGAUCACCUCACCAAGAAGGACCUGCGUGUCCAUCUCAAGAUGGUGGACAGUUUCCAUAGAACCAGUCUUCAGUAUGGCAUCAUGUGUCUGAAGAGGCUGAAUUAUGACCGGAAGGAACUGGAAAAGAGGCGGGAAGAGAGCCAGCAUGAGAUCAAGGAUGUGCUGGUCUGGACCAAUGACCAGGUGGUUCACUGGGUCCAGUCUAUAGGGCUAAGGGACUAUGCAGGAAACCUACACGAGAGUGGUGUGCAUGGCGCCCUGCUGGCCCUGGAUGAAAACUUCGACCACAACACACUGGCCUUGGUUCUGCAGAUCCCCACACAGAGCACCCAGGCCCGCCAAGUGAUGGAGAGAGAGUUCAAUAACCUGUUGGCCUUGGGCACAGACAGGAAAUUGGAUGACGGAGAAGAGAAGGUGUUCCGCCGAGCACCCUCCUGGAGGAAACGCUUCCGGCCUCGGGAUCACCAUAGCGGUGGCAUGUUGGGCACCUCAGCGGAGACCCUCCCGGCGGGCUUCCGUGUGUCCACGCUGGGUCCGCUGCAGCCUCCACCUGCCCCGCCUAAGAAGAUCAUGCCGGAAGCCGGGACGGCGGGGGCGCAGAGACUGGAGCCCUCUACGGUCCGGACCUACUCCUGCUGACCCCCCCCACCCUCCCGCCCCGGGUCUGACGGGGGUGCGCCCCCGGCUCGGGCUCACUCCCACUAUCUCUACGGACACAUGCUCUCCGCCUUCCGGGACUAGCCACGGCCCCCAGGGCGGGUGUCCUGGUUUCACAGGCUCAGCCGGCCCUGACCCUUCCUGCUCGUUCCCUUUCUCCCUUGGCUCCCAGUCUCUCCUCUGUGAUUUUCCAGUUGCCCGGGAUCUCAGAAUAUGCUCAUCCACUCCUUCAUCAUCCCACUAUCCGAGUCCUACUUCGUUCCCCCUUUGUAAGUCUCUGGAGGAUGUGACCAAGGUCUCCCGUGAGUGUCUGUCGGGCACCCAGGUUGUAGGUGUUUGAGAUUCUGUAGGAGGGAGGGAAGGACAGCACCUGUGGCCACCUUCCCUCUUCCGGAUCUGUUUUGGUCUGGACUAUGGGCUCAUCAGGCCCAGGAUCCCGGACCAAAGACUGAGAUGACCCUUCCAAUAAAAGGCCAUUUCGGACUCUGUCCUGCUUGGACUAAUUGGCCUUCUGGACCCCUCCACUCUGGCCGUACCCGAUGGUCUGAGUGGUUUUGCCACCUCCUCUCUCAGUAUCACUCCCUCCUCCCCAAACCCCAAUCUCCAGUGUCUGUAGCUCUUGCCUGCAAGUCUUGCUUGUGGGGUGACGAGGGGUGUAGAAUACCCCGAACCCUCUUCCAGGACAAAGCCAGGAGUGGAGCUGAGGAAGACUAAGGUAGAAACUCUGUGCCCAAGCUGACACAGAACCCCAAAUGUGUGGGAGGAAUGGACCCCAGAGCUUUGGGCCCAGGGUGAGGGCAAGGGGAACUCUUCAGCCCCUUGCCUAGAGAGAUGGCCUGAUGGCCUUUUGUGCUUCCCCCCAGAGGGCAGUGGGGAUGCCUCCAGCCCCAGCCCCAAAUGGUGCUGCUACUGGAUCAGAUUGUGAACGGUUAACUCUGCCCUGAAGUGGGGGUGCGGGAAUGGGGAGGCUUCCCCUUUAGUGACUCAUGUCCCAGGUCUAAGAAAUCUAAAGUGGACUGAGGCAGGCUCCCUUGUGUGUCCCUAUACCCUCCAGCCCUCCUUUAGGGUUCUUUUGGGGGUAAGGGGCUAACUGCUCAAGAAAAUCUUGAUCCCCUCUCUUGUCUCCAUUAUUUUAAUUGCUUUUUCUGGCAGCACGGUGGGGACAGGGCAGAUUUAUGAGAAAUAUCAAUUGCCCCUCUCUUCUGGACCAAUUCCUUAACCUUGGGAAAGCUCAGGGCCUAGUAUCAGGGUGGGUGAUAGAACCCGAAAUGGAAGAGGACGGGAAAGUGCCUGGGCUGUGCUUGUGACCGGCAGUACAGUGCCAUCCUGGAGGUGACUGGAGUAGCUGCUUUGCCAUUUCAUCACUGGGAUUCUGAACAGGCGCCAAGCUAACAGGUGGAGAAAUGAGCCAGAACUCCCUGUCUGAAAAGGAUGCCGAGCCUUGUGCUCAGCAGAGGGAAGUUUGGCUAAUGGGCUGAUCGAAUGAGCUAACAUGGGCUGGGGCAGGCAACUACCCGUCCUCAAGCCCGCUGUUUCUGUCUCCCUACCAGACAGGCCUCUGGGAAUGGAGAGAGAAGCAGCUGAGUAGAACAUGAACUAGUUAGAGCGAGAGAACCCUUGGUCCUGAAUAGUGGAGUUAUAGAGAAGGGCCAGUCCUAAGAUGGAAGGAGCCCUACAAUCUGACUCCUUCUAGGGACUCUGGGGCUAGCUUUGUGGGAGAGUCAGCCCUGCCCCUCCUCUCCCAUGUGACCCUGUCAUAGUUUGCAGUGUCCUAGGUAGCACUUGGGGAGCCAGGUGCAUUCAGGGUCAGUAGGGAGGACAAAAUAGGGGGCUCUACGUGCAGUGAGGAAAGGCUGCUGUCAUGGUGUGGCCCUGCCUCACUGUCAAUAUCUGUUUUCUCUGGAGAGUCCACCAGUGACCCAAGCUCUCCCUGCCAGCCUCCUGUGUCAAACCAGGUCCCUUCUCAGUACUGUAUUGGCUCAGUGCUUUCAGGAGUGAGUGUGUGAGUGAGUGUGUGAGUGUGUGUGGGCGUGAGCGGGUGUGUACGUACCAAUAAACAUCCUGGUUUUAAGACAAUGUA